CACCGCCUGGGGAGUACGACCGCAAGGUUAAAACUCAAAUGAAUUGACGGGGACCCGCACAAGUAGUGGAGCAUGUGGUUUAAUUCGAAGAUACGCGCAGAACCUUACCAACACUUGACAUGUUCGUCGCGACUUUAAGAGAUUAAAGUUUUCGGUUCGGCCGGACGAAACACAGGUGCUGCAUGGCUGUCGUCAGCUCGUGUCGUGAGAUGUUGGGUUAAGUCCCGCAACGAGCGCAACCCUCACUUUUAGUUGCCAUCAUUUAGUUGGGCACUCUGAAAGAACUGCCAGUGAUAAGCUGGAGGAAGGUGGGGAUGACGUCAAGUCCUCAUGGCCCUUACGUGUUGGGCUACACACGUGCUACAAUGGUAUCUACAACAGGAAGCAAGACGGCGACGUUAAGCAAAUCCUUAAAAGAUACCUCAGUUCGGAUUGCACUCUGCAACUCGAGUGCAUGAAGCUGGAAUUACUAGUAAUCGUGGAUCAGCGUGCCACGGUGAAUGCGUUCCCGGGUCUUGUACACACCGCCCGUCACACCAUGGGAGUUGGUUCUACCUUAAGGCAAGGUUUAAAACCCUUGACCACGGUAUAGUCAGCGACUGGGGUGAAGUCGUAACAAGGUAGCCGUAGGGGAACCUGCGGCUGGAUUACCUCCUUUCUAAGGAUGAAUGAAAGUAAAAUUUCAUUCUAAAUAAUAUACAGGUAAUGUUGACCGUCCUCAUUUCUCUUCUUAAAGUUAGUGUUUCUCCUUGCAUGGGGGCCGGUAGCUCAGUUGGUUAGAGCACACCCUUGAUAAGGGUGGGGUCGAAAGUUCGAGUCUUUCUCGGCCCACCAAUUUUAAGAUCAAGGGGGAUUAGCUCAGCUGGGAGAGCGCCUGAUUUGCAUUCAGGAGGUCAGCGGUUCGAUCCCGCUAUCCUCCACCAAACACUUAGUUAUAAAAAUUGUAAAAAAUUAUUAAUUAUAUCAAUAUCUAUAUCCGAACAUUAGUAAUGUUAUUAGCUAAUGUUCAAAAAAAAUUUGAUUCAACACAGAUUUUUUUCUG
Molecule: small RNA, 1042 nt
Filed under: uncultured Pelagibacterales bacterium
Lineage: Bacteria; Pseudomonadati; Pseudomonadota; Alphaproteobacteria; Candidatus Pelagibacterales
Description: bacterial SSU rRNA
Rfam family: Bacterial small subunit ribosomal RNA (bases 1-658)
Source: RNAcentral